RNAcentral lists this ribosomal RNA (491 nucleotides) under uncultured bacterium. Its description in RNAcentral is "partial 16S ribosomal RNA". It matches the Rfam family "Bacterial small subunit ribosomal RNA", at positions 29 to 506 of the family's 1533-position model. The record is from RNAcentral.
AGUGAACGCUGGCGGUAGGCCUAACACAUGCAAGUCGAACGGCAGCACAGUAAGAGCUUGCUCUUACGGGUGGCGAGUGGCGGACGGGUGAGGAAUACAUCGGAAUCUACUUUUUCGUGGGGGAUAACGUAGGGAAACUUACGCUAAUACCGCAUACGACCUACGGGUGAAAGCAGGGGAUCUUCGGACCUUGUGCGAUUGAAUGAGCCGAUGUCGGAUUAGCUAGUUGGCGGGGUAAAGGACUACCAAGGCGACGAUCCGUAGCUGGUCUGAGAGGAUGAUCAGCAACUGGGGAGAUGAGACACGGUCCAGACUCCUAAGGGAGGCAGCACUGGGAAAUAUUGGACAAGGGGCGGAAGCGUGAUCCAGACAAACCGCGUGGGUGAAGACGGCCUUCGGGGUGUAAAGCACUUUUGUUGGAAAAGAAUAGCGGCAGGUUAAUACCCAGCUGUUCUGAAGGUACCCAAAGAAUAGGCACCGGCUAACUUGGU